Molecule: long non-coding RNA, 289 nt
Filed under: Mytilus galloprovincialis (Mediterranean mussel)
Lineage: Eukaryota; Metazoa; Mollusca; Bivalvia; Mytilida; Mytilidae
Source: RNAcentral
GACGUCAUAAUGUUUGAACCGACGUUGAUAAGUUUGACCCGAACUUAUCAAGUCAACUUCCGGUUGCUGGUGAAACUAAGACAAUACUUCCAAAAGACGCAAAUACAGUCCGAUAAAUCGAUUAUCAUGUUAUCGGCAUAUUAAUAUUGUAAAAUAUCAGCUGCUCGACAUAAUAUGAAGGCUUUUUGAUCUCGUUCGCUGCGCUUACUCGACAAAAAGCUUCAUAUUAUGUCUCGCAGCUGAUAUUUUAUGAUAUCAACAUGCAGACAACCUGAUAAUCGGUACGUAU